CCUACGGGUGGCUGCAGUAGGGAAUCUUCGGCAAUGGGGGCAACCCUGACCGAGCAACGCCGCGUGAGUGAAGAAGGUUUUCGGAUCGUAAAACUCUGUUGUUAGAGAAGAACGUUAAGUAGAGUGGAAAAUUACUUAAGUGACGGUAUCUAACCAGAAAGGGACGGCUAACUACGUGCCAGCAGCCGCGGUAAUACGUAGGUCCCAAGCGUAGUCCGGAUUUAUUGGGCGAAAAGCGAGCGCAGGUGGUUGCUUCAUUCGGAUGGAAAAGGCAGUGGCUCAACCAUUAUGUGCAUUGGAAACGGGGAGACUUGAGUGCAGGAGAGGAGGGUGGAAUUCCAGGUGUAGCGGUGAAAUGCGUAGAUAUAUGGAGGAACACCGGAGGCGAAAGCGGCUCUCUGGCCUGUAACUGACACUGAGGCUCGAAAGCGUGGGGAGCAAACAGGAUUAGAUACCCUAGUAGUC
Molecule: ribosomal RNA, 465 nt
Filed under: uncultured Lactococcus sp.
Lineage: Bacteria; Bacillati; Bacillota; Bacilli; Lactobacillales; Streptococcaceae
Description: bacterial SSU rRNA
Rfam family: Bacterial small subunit ribosomal RNA
Source: RNAcentral